ACACCUCGGGAUGUCUGAGGAUCCUCAUCCCCGUAACUCAAGGAGCCUGGGGAAGCACAGCCACGGCCACAGGAGCCGCUCGGGGUGGUACCGAACCGUGUUUUCACGGCGGAAGCCAAAGGCGCGGUUCAGCCCAACACGCCCGUCCCCCUCCGGCAGCCGCAGUGGGGCCGGGGCCGGCGGGCGUGGCGGGACCGGCGCAGGGGAAGAGAAAAUGAAAUUUCCAACAGUUCAGUAAUCAUGCUUUGCAUCUUCGCUGUCUUCUUGAGUUGCUGCUCCUUCCCACCACCGUACACAUGUUGGGGCAGGCUGUGUCUUCUACUGCCACCAGCCCAUGCCCAUGUUGCCUAUGCUCUCUGUGCAGCUGGAGAUAACAGAUCAGGCACCAGGAACAGUGCAGCUCUCUGCCACUCCCUUCCAAUUCUGUUAAAAUUAUUAUUAAUAUUUACUUUCACUGCCUUACAGAUCAGAAGGAGCUUGGUUUUUUCUUGGCUUAUUCUGAUCAUUGCAUACCUUUACUUUCCCAUAUAAGAAGUUCAAAUUUGGACUUGCUCCAUCCUUUUUGUGUCCUGUCUUUUGUGGAAAAUGGUAGCAAGCCUCUCUGCCUGCCCACUGUGGAUAAAAAUAGAGCUUUUCACUUUCUUAACAUUGAAAGUUGUAGUAUUGUCCACAAGGGUCCCAGGAUGAGGGAAGAGAUGAGAAAGUUGACUCCAUGUUUCAGAAAGCUCGAUUUAUUAUUUUAUGAUAGAAAAUAUAUUAAAACUAUACUAAAAGAAUAGAGAGAAAGGAUUUCAUCAGAAGGCUAAGCUAAGAAUAGAAAAGGAAUGAAUAACAAAGGUUUGUCCCUGACCGAGACAGUCUGGGCAGGUGAACUGUGAUUGGCCCUUAAUUCCAAACAACCGGAUGAGACCAAUCACAGAUUCCCCCUGUUGCAUUCCACAGCAGCAGAUAAGAAUUGUUUACAGUUUGUUCCUGAGGCCUCUCAGCUUCUCAGGAGGGAAAAAUCCUAAGGAAAGGAUUUUUCAUAAAACAUGUUGGUGACAGAAAGUUGUUUAUAAUUUCUAAUAUCAAUAUGUCAAAUACACAGCUGGUAGAAUUCUGCCAUUCCUAUACUAGAAAAUAUUAAAGGAAAAAAAAGUUGGUUUUAGGGGAAACCUAGGCGUAGUGAAAUAUUCUAAGUGCUACCCGCGGGGCUCUCACCAACCAAGUAUGAAACAUUUCAAGUUGGAACUCUGCUAUUCUAGAAUGUGGUCAAUGUCACUUCUGGAUACAACAGAUGGAUCCAGGGAGCAGUUAUGGGUAUGUCUACACAGGGAGUUUGGUCUCCAAUGUGGACUAGUUUUCAGGUGCAUCCCGUUAAUGCACUUACAUUAGAACUGAUAGGACAAUUCUUGGGAAUCUGGUGUUAAGAAUCCUUCUAUAAAUCACUAAUUAAAAUCUGGUGAAGUACUAGAGUAGUUGAAGAUUUUCUUGUGAUAAAUGCUUUGUUUCUUAUAUGAAGCCAGGGUUUUUGAUGAAUUAAAGAACUAUUCUUUAAAGAUUUAUUGCUACAACAGACAGGAUGUCUGAAAGAACAAAAGACAAGGUUUACAAAGUGUCAGAAGUCCACUCCAGAAUAUAUCUGCCUCAAAGUGGUGCCUGUAUAUCAAGACUCAAGUGUACUAAGAAAAAAUAGUUCCUGUUCACAGUGCUGUAAAAUAAUAAGUAGUGAAUCUGAUAAACAGCAUAUGCAGACUUGUACAAACCUACAUAAAUCAAAUAAAAAUUUUCAUAAUGGACAAAAUCCCUAAA
Molecule: long non-coding RNA, 1791 nt
Organism: Haemorhous mexicanus (house finch)
Lineage: Eukaryota; Metazoa; Chordata; Aves; Passeriformes; Fringillidae
Exons: 2
Source: RefSeq, a predicted model, not a curated record